Molecule: ribosomal RNA, 253 nt
Filed under: uncultured bacterium
Lineage: Bacteria
Description: partial 16S ribosomal RNA
Rfam family: Bacterial small subunit ribosomal RNA
Source: RNAcentral
UCCGUAGGGUGCAAUCAUUGUCCGGAUUUAUUGGGUUUAAAGGGUGCGUAGGUGGCUUUUUAAGUCAUGGGUGAAAGCCCGCAGCUCAACUGUGGAAUUGCCUGUGAUACUGAGGAGCUUGAGUGCGGUUGAGGCAGCUGGAAUUGGUGGUGUAGCGGUGAAAUGCAUAGAUACCACCAGGAACACCGAUUGCGAAGGCAGGUUGCUAAGCCGUAACUGACACUGAGGCACGAAAGCGUGGGGAGAAAACAGG